CGGUGGAGCAUGUGGUUUAAUUCGAAGCAACGCGAAGAACCUUACCAGGUCUUGACAUCCCGAUGCUAUUUCUAGAGAUAGAAGUUACUUCGGUACAUCGGUGACAGGUGGUGCAUGGUUGUCGUCAGCUCGUGUCGUGAGAUGUUGGGUUAAGUCCCGCAACGAGCGCAACCCCUAUUGUUAGUUGCCAUCAUUCAGUUGGGCACUCUAGCGAGACUGCCGGUAAUAAACCGGAGGAAGGUGGGGAUGACGUCAAAUCAUCAUGCCCCUUAUGACCUGGGCUACACACGUGCUACAAUGGUUGGUACAACGAGUUGCGAGUCGGUGACGGCGAGCUAAUCUCUUAAAGCCAAUCUCAGUUCGGAUUGUAGGCUGCAACUCGCCUACAUGAAGUCGGAAUCGCUAGUAAUCGCGGAUCAGCACGCCGCGGUGAAUACGUUCCCGGGCCUU
RNAcentral lists this ribosomal RNA (450 nucleotides) under uncultured Streptococcus sp. RNAcentral's name for it is "bacterial SSU rRNA". It matches the Rfam family "Bacterial small subunit ribosomal RNA", at positions 930 to 1382 of the family's 1533-position model. Lineage: Bacteria; Bacillati; Bacillota; Bacilli; Lactobacillales; Streptococcaceae. The record is from RNAcentral.